This 311-nucleotide long non-coding RNA is filed under the name Sinocyclocheilus grahami. Its description in RNAcentral is "lncRNA (ENSSGRG00000007057.1)". Lineage: Eukaryota; Metazoa; Chordata; Actinopteri; Cypriniformes; Cyprinidae. The record is from RNAcentral.
AUGCUCUUGUGAACAUCAUGUUUUCCUCUUUCAGGGGUUCCCUGGAAAAGAGGGGCCGAGAGGGCCUCAUGGUCUCCCAGGAUGCAAUGGAACAAAGGGUGAGCCUGGUCCCCCAGGCUUAAUAGGGCCCAUGGGAGCUCCUGGAUGGCAGGGAAUGCCAGGAAUCCAAGGACCUAAGGGAGAUAGCUAUUACUUGCAACCCUCUGGACAAGUGAAAGGACUUCGUGGUUUUCCAGGCAGAGAUGGAGAUAAAGUAAGAGAAUUAGUUAUGAGAAUAAAGUAAAAAAUGCGGAUUGAACAUUUGGACAAGC